GACGAACGCUGGCGGCGUGCUUAACACAUGCAAGUCGAACGGAAAGGCCCUGCUUUUGUGGGGUGCUCGAGUGGCGAACGGGUGAGUAACACGUGAGUAACCUGCCCUUGACUUUGAGAUAACUUCAGGAAACUGGGGCUAAUACCGGAUAGGAGCUCCUGCUGCAUGGUGGGGGUUGGAAAGUUUCGGCGGUUGGGGAUGGACUCGCGGCUUAUCAGUUUGUUGGUGGGGUAGUGGCUUACCAAGGCUUUGACGGGUAGCCGGCCUGAGAGGGUGACCGGCCACAUUGGGACUGAGAUACGGCCCAGACUCCUACGGGAGGCAGCAGUGGGGAAUAUUGCACAAUGGGCGGAAGCCUGAUGCAGCAACGCCGCGUGCGGGAUGACGGCCUUCGGGUUGUAAACCGCUUUCGCCUGCGACGAAGCGUGAGUGACGGUAAUGGGUAAAGAAGCACCGGCUAACUACGUG
Molecule: ribosomal RNA, 468 nt
Filed under: uncultured bacterium
Lineage: Bacteria
Description: partial 16S ribosomal RNA
Rfam family: Bacterial small subunit ribosomal RNA
Source: RNAcentral